UACGGAGGAUUCAAGCGUUAUCCGGAUUUACUGGGUGUAAAGGGAGCGUAGACGGCGAUGCAAGUCUGAAGUGAAAGGCGGGGGCUCAACCCCUGGACUGCUUUGGAAACUGUAUGGCUGGAGUGCAGGAGAGGUAAGUGGAAUUCCUAGUGUAGCGGUGAAAUGCAUAGAUAUCACGCAGAACUCCGAUUGCGAAGGCAGCUUACUAAGCCAUAACUGACACUGAAGCACGAAAGCGUGGGGAUCAAACAGG
This 253-nucleotide ribosomal RNA is filed under the name uncultured Eubacteriales bacterium. RNAcentral's name for it is "uncultured Clostridiales bacterium partial 16S ribosomal RNA". It matches the Rfam family "Bacterial small subunit ribosomal RNA", at positions 524 to 776 of the family's 1533-position model. The record is from RNAcentral. Lineage: Bacteria; Bacillati; Bacillota; Clostridia; Eubacteriales.